This 2755-nucleotide ribosomal RNA is filed under the name Klebsiella pneumoniae subsp. pneumoniae. Its description in RNAcentral is "bacterial LSU rRNA". It matches the Rfam family "Bacterial large subunit ribosomal RNA". Lineage: Bacteria; Pseudomonadati; Pseudomonadota; Gammaproteobacteria; Enterobacterales; Enterobacteriaceae. The record is from RNAcentral.
ACUAUCGUUAACUGAAUACAUAGGUUAACGAGGCGAACCGGGGGAACUGAAACAUCUAAGUACCCCGAGGAAAAGAAAUCAACCGAGAUUCCCCCAGUAGCGGCGAGCGAACGGGGAGCAGCCCAGAGUCUGAAUCAGCUUGUGUGUUAGUGGAACGGUCUGGAAAGUCCGACGGUACAGGGUGAUAGUCCCGUACACCAAAAUGCACAGGUUGUGAACUCGAAGAGUAGGGCGGGACACGUGGUAUCCUGUCUGAAUAUGGGGGGACCAUCCUCCAAGGCUAAAUACUCCUGACUGACCGAUAGUGAACCAGUACCGUGAGGGAAAGGCGAAAAGAACCCCGGCGAGGGGAGUGAAAAAGAACCUGAAACCGUGUACGUACAAGCAGUGGGAGCACCUUCGGGUGUGACUGCGUACCUUUUGUAUAAUGGGUCAGCGACUUAUAUUCUGUAGCAAGGUUAACCGUAUAGGGGAGCCGCAGGGAAACCGAGUCUUAACUGGGCGUUAAGUUGCAGGGUAUAGACCCGAAACCCGGUGAUCUAGCCAUGGGCAGGUUGAAGGUUGGGUAACACUAACUGGAGGACCGAACCGACUAAUGUUGAAAAAUUAGCGGAUGACUUGUGGCUGGGGGUGAAAGGCCAAUCAAACCGGGAGAUAGCUGGUUCUCCCCGAAAGCUAUUUAGGUAGCGCCUCGUGAACUCAUCUUCGGGGGUAGAGCACUGUUUCGGCUAGGGGGUCAUCCCGACUUACCAACCCGAUGCAAACUACGAAUACCGAAGAAUGUUAUCACGGGAGACACACGGCGGGUGCUAACGUCCGUCGUGAAGAGGGAAACAACCCAGACCGCCAGCUAAGGUCCCAAAGUCAUGGUUAAGUGGGAAACGAUGUGGGAAGGCACAGACAGCCAGGAUGUUGGCUUAGAAGCAGCCAUCAUUUAAAGAAAGCGUAAUAGCUCACUGGUCGAGUCGGCCUGCGCGGAAGAUGUAACGGGGCUAAACCAUGCACCGAAGCUGCGGCAGCGACACUAUGUGUUGUUGGGUAGGGGAGCGUUCUGUAAGCCUGCGAAGGUGACCUGUGAGGGUUGCUGGAGGUAUCAGAAGUGCGAAUGCUGACAUAAGUAACGAUAAAGCGGGUGAAAAGCCCGCUCGCCGGAAGACCAAGGGUUCCUGUCCAACGUUAAUCGGGGCAGGGUGAGUCGACCCCUAAGGCGAGGCCGAAAGGCGUAGUCGAUGGGAAACAGGUUAAUAUUCCUGUACUUGGUGUUACUGCGAAGGGGGGACGGAGAAGGCUAUGUUAGCCGGGCGACGGUUGUCCCGGUUUAAGCAUGUAGGCUGAUUGUCCAGGCAAAUCCGGAUAAUCAAGGCUGAGGUGUGAUGACGAGGCACUACGGUGCUGAAGUAACAAAUGCCCUGCUUCCAGGAAAAGCCUCUAAGCAUCAGGUAACAUUAAAUCGUACCCCAAACCGACACAGGUGGUCAGGUAGAGAAUACCAAGGCGCUUGAGAGAACUCGGGUGAAGGAACUAGGCAAAAUGGUGCCGUAACUUCGGGAGAAGGCACGCUGGUGUGUAGGUGAAGUCCCUGCGGAUGGAGCUGAGACCAGUCGAAGAUACCAGCUGGCUGCAACUGUUUAUUAAAAACACAGCACUGUGCAAACACGAAAGUGGACGUAUACGGUGUGACGCCUGCCCGGUGCCGGAAGGUUAAUUGAUGGGGUUAUCCGUAAGGAGAAGCUCUUGAUCGAAGCCCCGGUAAACGGCGGCCGUAACUAUAACGGUCCUAAGGUAGCGAAAUUCCUUGUCGGGUAAGUUCCGACCUGCACGAAUGGCGUAAUGAUGGCCAGGCUGUCUCCACCCGAGACUCAGUGAAAUUGAACUCGCUGUGAAGAUGCAGUGUACCCGCGGCAAGACGGAAAGACCCCGUGAACCUUUACUAUAGCUUGACACUGAACAUUGAGCCUUGAUGUGUAGGAUAGGUGGGAGGCUUUGAAGCGUGGACGCCAGUCUGCGUGGAGCCAACCUUGAAAUACCACCCUUUAAUGUUUGAUGUUCUAACGUUGGCCCCUGACCGGGGUUGCGGACAGUGUCUGGUGGGUAGUUUGACUGGGGCGGUCUCCUCCCAAAGCGUAACGGAGGAGCACGAAGGUUAGCUAAUCCUGGUCGGACAUCAGGAGGUUAGUGCAAUGGCAUAAGCUAGCUUGACUGCGAGCGUGACGGCGCGAGCAGGUGCGAAAGCAGGUCAUAGUGAUCCGGUGGUUCUGAAUGGAAGGGCCAUCGCUCAACGGAUAAAAGGUACUCCGGGGAUAACAGGCUGAUACCGCCCAAGAGUUCAUAUCGACGGCGGUGUUUGGCACCUCGAUGUCGGCUCAUCACAUCCUGGGGCUGAAGUAGGUCCCAAGGGUAUGGCUGUUCGCCAUUUAAAGUGGUACGCGAGCUGGGUUUAGAACGUCGUGAGACAGUUCGGUCCCUAUCUGCCGUGGGCGCUGGAGAAUUGAGGGGGGCUGCUCCUAGUACGAGAGGACCGGAGUGGACGCAUCACUGGUGUUCGGGUUGUCAUGCCAAUGGCACUGCCCGGUAGCUAAAUGCGGAAGAGAUAAGUGCUGAAAGCAUCUAAGCACGAAACUUGCCCCGAGAUGAGUUCUCCCUGAGACUAUAAGUCUCCUGAAGGAACGUUAAAGACGAUGACGUUGAUAGGCCGGGUGUGUAAGCGCAGCGAUGCGUUGAGCUAACCGGUACUAAUGAACCGUGAGGCUUAACC